UUUGUUGAUUAUUCUUUCAAAAAUAAUAAUUAAUGAAUAUAUACUUAUACAUUGUAUAUUAUUUUUAUAAAAAUCAAAACACAAAUUUGUUUCCACAUUAUUUGGAAAUAUCGAAUGUUUUUUUUACUAGCGUUGUUUAUGGUUUCUUUUAUAGGAUUUGCUAUUGACUGUUGCUACUAUUCUUACUAUAAUAAUAACAUACAAUGUAACAAUAUAAUAAUAAAAAAAAGGUUAAAAAGAAUAUAUUUUUAUUUAUUACGUUUAGUAUUUCUUGCUCGAAAUUGUUCAUUGUUUUAAAGGUCGUGUAAUCUUCUGAUUCGAGAAUUGGUGGAUCUUCAAACAAUAACAUAUCGCCAUUGUCUUUACUAUUACAAUAUAAAAUAUACAUAAUAUGUAUAAUAUUUAAGUUUUUAUUAUUAUAUUAUUGUUGUUGUUGUUGUUGUUGUUGUUAUCAGUAAUAGUAAUAUUGUAAUAAUUGAAGUAGUAUAAAUAAGGUGCAGUCAAAAAUAUAAGUUUUCGUUAAAAAAAAGUAGUCGCAUUUUUUCAAUGCGCAAAGAUAUAUAAAAUUAUUUGCAUAUUAUAUAGCGUAUAAUAUCAUUUAACUUUGAUCUAUUUUUACUUCUAUAUCACGGCCUUUUUCUUAUUUUUUGCAUUACUUUUUAUUCCUUUAUUCUAUUUCUUAUUGUCUCUACACUUUUUUUUUUAUUUUCCAUCAUUUAAAAAAUACAGCCUGUUCCAGUUAUGUGAGACACCCUAUAUAUGUAUAUAUCUAGAAGGUCGUGAAAGUUGAAGAUUAGAGGCAUUGAUAUGACGUGUUAGAUUUAUAUUAUAAGUAGUUUAUAAAUAUUUAUGUUAAUACGUUUGUAAGAAAAUUUCAUCAAAAUGGAGAAUAAUAAGUUAGAUAUAGUAAUAUUUGGUGGUACUGGAUUUACUGGACGGUAUGUUAUUAAAGAAGCAGCACGUUUGGCUAAAGAAAAAGAAUUUAAUUUUGGUGUAGCUGGGCGUAGAAAAGAGGCAUUAGAAUCUGCUGUUAAAACAUAUGCACCGGAUAUUGAAAAUGUUCCCAUUAUUAUCGCGGAUAUCAAGAAUGAAGAAUCUCUUAAAAAAAUGGUAGAAAAGGCAAGAGUGCUUGUAAACUGUUGCGGUCCAUUUGUAUAUUAUGGUGAACCUGUUAUCAAAGCUUGUAUAGCUGCCAAAGUUCAUUAUGUUGAUGUUACUGGAGAAACUCUGUUCAUAGAAGAUAUGCAAUUGAAGUAUAACAAAGCGGCACAAGACGCUGGUAUCUACAUUGUAAAUGCUUGUGGCUUUGAUAGCGUUCCUGCGGACCUUGGCACGGUUUUUACACAACAAAAGUUUGGCGGGGAAGUUAAUAGUACCGAAAUAUACUUUAAUAUUUUCAACAAUGGAAAGAUUAACAAACCAAUAGCUAACUUUGCAACCUUGGAAAGUCUUAUUUAUGGAUUAAUUAACAUAAAUAAAAUACGUGAUGUUCGUAAAAAAUUAUUUUUGGAAAAACUACCCGACUUGAAGCCUAAAUUAAAAUUCAGUUGGCUUCCACAUAGAUGCGCUUUUACAAAUAAAUGGUCCGUAUUAUUUCCAUCUGGAGAUCAUGCAAUAAUUAAUCGUUCACAAAGAUAUUUCUUUGACAAAUAUAAGCAGAGACCUAUUCAGACUAGCAUAUAUGUUUCAGUCGAAUCUAUAUUUUAUAUAUUUUUAUUAUUUUUUAUGAUCAUAAAUAUUAUUUUAUUGAAAUUUUCAUAUGGACGCAGUUUAAUAUUAAAGUACCCUAAACUAUUUACUUUGGGUUUAAUAACUCAUGAAGAACCAAGCGAAAAAACAUUGAACCAAUUAGAAAUAUCUCUUAUUUUCUCAGCACGUGGUUGGACUGAAAAAUUAAGUGAACCUUCUGAUGUUCAUUCUGAUCUUCCAAAUAAGGAGAUGAUUGCAAAAGUUACUUGUUGCAAUCCUUACAAAGUUACUGCUAUUAUUGUAAUCUUAUGUGCUCUUACUAUUUUUAAAGAUUCUGAUAAAAUGCCUGAAAGUGGCGGUGUUUUUACUACUGGUGCUGCAUUUAGUAAGACUUCUCUUAUUGAUGAACUAAAUAAAGAGGGUGUUAAAUUUGAAGUUGUUUCAUCCAUUGAAAAAUGAAGGUAUUAUUAACACGUACUAACAUCAAGUAUUCCAAUAUUUUUAUCUUAUUACUUAUUAUUUGUUACUUAUUUUUCUGUAUUAUCUAUAUUAUUAUAGAAUUAACUACUAUACUUUGCUUUUAAUAUUAAUAAUGUUAUAAACAUAGAUCUAUAAUAUUAUUUACUUAUUACUAUUGUUACUACUAUUUACUUGGUUACUAUUAUUUCUAACAAAAAUGAGAGUUAUCUAUUUACACGUUUUUCUCGAAGGUAUUUGGUUUUUCACAAUAAUUUUCAUUUAUGGUAUUUUGUAUAUGUUCACAUUUACAUUGUUGUAUUUAUUAUUUUGAAUAAAAUAUAGAAUUUUUUGUUUUAUUUUAUUAUAAUUAUAUAAUAGAAAAUUGCGAAUUAAGAAUAAUAAUUGUAAGAAGAAAUUAUUCUCUCUUUGUUCAAUUAUACGAAAAGAAAAAUAUAUACUUUUCAUUGGAUUAAGAUAACAUAUUCCGAGAAAAAUUAUCGUUCAAAUAUAUAUAUAUAUAUAUAUAUAUAUAUAUAUAUAUAUAUAUUUCUGUUAAUAUCUUAAUUCGAUUAGUUUGUUUCAUUCAAUUUACUAUUUUUAACCAAUUACAAAUUUUUACUAUUGGCUUGUAUCAUCGCGAAUAAAGUUCUCAAAGAAUAUUACCUUUUUAGUCAAAAUUGAAUGAAAUAGCUUGAUGUGUAUAAAAUAUAAAGAGAAGAGAGAUCGAUGAAAGGUGUAAAUAUACAAAGGAAAAGUAUACUUUCUUCGUAAAUUAUUAUCUACAGACGUCAUAAAAUCGUUAUCUUCGUUACUCAUGACGUCAUGAUAUCGUUAUCCUCGUUGCUCAUGACGUCGAGUAUAAAGCAUGAUCAAUAAGUUGGCAAAACUGGAAACCCGAUGUUUCUGUAGUAUUUUACGUAUGUGAUAUGCCAGGUGGGCACGUAAUUACUGGAUAUUCCAAGAUGAAAUCCCAGAUAAAUAACAUCGGUUUUUCAGAAUCGUGCGAAUCGUAUCUUACGUAUUUUCUUUGAAAGGAGACUCGCUUGAGGAACUAAGCAAAGAUUAUAUUAAUGAAUAUGUUAAUUCGUAUUUCUUCUCAAACUUGUUAACAUAACGAUCGAUUGAUAAAUGAUAAUGGCAAUGAUCACGCAACGAUUGUUAUUUAAUCAAUCUUCAUUAAACGUUAAAAUCAUGGAUAAAGCCAUGUAACACAU
Vespula vulgaris is the source of this 3362-nucleotide RNA transcript. It is a transcript of the gene named saccharopine dehydrogenase-like oxidoreductase, with no coding region annotated. The transcript has 9 exons. Lineage: Eukaryota; Metazoa; Arthropoda; Insecta; Hymenoptera; Vespidae. The record is from RefSeq and is a predicted model, not a curated record.